UAUUACAGAUGACACGGUUUAUGAGUUAACGUAAAAAGAAAAUAAUGUUGAUCUUACUUUUUAAUCAUCUUUCACCACUCUGACAUGAAUCAGAGUGUAUAUGAAUGCAUUGAAAUUAUUCAUCAAUAUCCUUUAGAAUAAUAAUAAAAAAAUUCCACAUGUUUUCCAUAAUUAAUAACUUCAUCUAAUUAUUAAUAAGUGAUAAUUUAGUUUAAUUCACUCUAGAUUAAAUCAAUUAAUAACUGCAUCAAACUAAGAGUGCAAUGUACUCAAUAAUAUUUAUCAUAACGUUCAUUAUCAUAUAGAAAUAUUUAACUAUUUAUUAAUACUCCAAGAAAUAAUUUUUAAAUUCAUUUUUUCUGUGCAUCAGGUUCACCUAAAAAUACAGGUAUCGUCAUAGAAUACUUUUGUUUUCACUUGGGCCGGUUUUCGAAACGAGUUUUCAUAUAAUUUUGGGUCUGAUAUUUUACCUGGAACAUAAUGGAAUCAAUUAAAGUUUAGACAACGGUUAAAAAUAUCCAAUAUCAGGUAAAAAUCAAGGCCGUGAAGAGAACCAACACAUCCUGUAUGCACAUUACAGCUUAGAGCAAGGCUUUCAACAACGGAACUUUCUCGCUCUCGAUCUAGUUUCUUGAAUAAUUCCAAAUGAGCCACGGGAGAAAAAGAGAGAAAGAUACAAGUUGUAGUGUGGAGUGCGGAAGGAGACGAGGUGCAGCUUAACGGAAGUAAGGUAUACGAAUGAAUUCUUCCGGAUAACGGUGCAUUUGGAACAAUGCACGUGAUGAUUAUUUUAAGGAAUAAAUUGCAGAGAAGGACAUAGGAAAAGUCUCAAGUACUUAAUUGAAAUACGACACAUUAAUUCAGCAAACUCUCUAGAAUGAAAAGCAAUCGGUUAUUGCCACGCUAACGGACUUGCUACAACGUAACGUCUCGCCGAUUGCGCAAUAAAAAUCUUAGCGCAUCUCCGGCGUCCUCCAAAGAGGAUGCUGGCUUGUUGGAAAAGGUAUAGAGACUUAUCCUACAGUAGAUCACAAGUGAAAGUGAUGAGAGAAUGAAUGCUACCUCGUCAGCAUCUAGACCUUUUUUCGUUGGUGCAGGCGGAUGGAUCCCAUGAUGAUGACGAUGAUAAUGAUGAUGAUGAUGAUGAUGAUGCUAAAAAUGAUGAAUGCAAUGCUUUUAACUAAGAUGAAGAGGAAGAAGAGUGAGAGGAAGUUACGGGGUUGUUGACACUUCAACAACUGUUUCUACCGACGCUUCGAGAGUCUAUAGACAAACGUCUUGUCGGCAUACCAACGAAACCAAGACCAUGAGCACGUAGUGCCGGCAUGCAUUACUCCACGUGCAUUCAUUAUUGCAUGACGAUUCUUCUUUGACGAUGUCGUCUAUCAUCUAUGCACAAGGACUUAAAUACAACGGUAAAUGUGAAUUGGCAAAGAAAUCUGAGGCAAAGAAAAACUGGGAGAGAUGCAAAGGAACCGGAAUGCGGCAUCGACGUCCAAGGAAAACCACUUGUGACUGCACCCUAGAUAUUCAUAUUGUACUUUGCUUACCAGCAUUAUUUUAACUUACUUCAUUAAUAACUUCUAUUUGAACAUCCUUAUACAAGAUGUUCACGUAAGACUGUAUAUUUAUUUUAUCACUUGAGAAUACUCUCGGGGCAUUCUCAAGUGGUGAAAAAAAGUUAUUCGUGCCAUGGCCAGUAAGACGAGGGAUCGAGAUAUAAUUGAGACGCUAGUUAGCCUGGAGUGUGUAUUGAGUAUGAAGCAAAGCACUACAUUCAUGAGUUAAUGUCCACGACCGCGCCCUGAUCAAGUUGAGACGAAAAUACGAAGAAAGCAGCAUGCCUGCAACCGGCGUUCGUUGGUUGCUUGACGACCGGUGAAAGUCAUAUCCAAAAUGUCAUUGGAGGUUAACCUUAACGCGACUCGAUCACCGUGUGGUUAUACUAGCACCUAUGUUCUAUGAGGAUAUCUCUUACGUCAGCUUUCCAUAAAUAUUGCAGUUUCUGGAUAAAAAUUACAAUGACAGUAGAUUUUGUUGGUUAAAACAUUCCAAGAAGUCGUUGGUGUUCUUUUUCGGCUCCGGUCUCUUAAUAUUUUUUCCAAACCGGAUUCCCAGGUCUGUUCUCCUACCAAAGUGAUCAACAGUGUAUUGGUAGACUUUAUACAUACUCACAUCAGACUCCCAGUUACCUUAGAUACUCCAGGCAAUUGCAAAACCCUUGGGCAAGGUGACCUAGUUACUGAGCAUCGUCGAGCAAAAUAGAGAGCGAGUUUUUUGUGAUGGUUGAAACAACAGCUAAACAUUAUGCCUUUUAAAUUGGAUUAAAUUGAAAGGAAAAUAUAACAUUAAUCCAUUAAACUUAUGAUUUAGCCAAUUUAAUGUUUUACGUCACACCCAUGUCACGCUUCAUGCGUGAACAUAAAGUCGAAGGAUGCAAAUGACAAAUGAUAAUAAUUAACUACAACAAUGAUGUCUGGUGUAAAUGAAACAAGCAAUGGGUGAUGAUGUAUUGAAUUAUCAUAAAAAAUUGGUAUGUAUUAAUAAAAAAUAAAUAAUGGAAGGUGGAUAUAAUUUUUCAGGUAUGAUUUAUAAGCUUCUAAAUCAUUUGUUGAAAUAUUCAAUCAACAAAAAAUUUGAGAAACAAAUAAACAGUUAAUAUUAAUCGGUGGUAAUAAGUUUUUUUUAG
This is a long non-coding RNA of Chelonus insularis, 2689 nucleotides long. RefSeq lists it as uncharacterized. Lineage: Eukaryota; Metazoa; Arthropoda; Insecta; Hymenoptera; Braconidae. The transcript is spliced from 9 exons. The record is from RefSeq and is a predicted model, not a curated record.